Molecule: ribosomal RNA, 670 nt
Filed under: Staphylococcus sp. B47
Lineage: Bacteria; Bacillati; Bacillota; Bacilli; Caryophanales; Staphylococcaceae
Description: bacterial SSU rRNA
Rfam family: Bacterial small subunit ribosomal RNA
Source: RNAcentral
GACGUUAGCGGCGGACGGGUGAGUAACACGUGGAUAACCUACCUAUAAGACUGGGAUAACUUCGGGAAACCGGAGCUAAUACCGGAUAAGAUUUUGAACCGCAUGGUUCAAUAGUGAAAGACGGCCUUGCUGUCACUUAUAGAUGGAUCCGCGCCGUAUUAGCUAGUUGGUAAGGUAACGGCUUACCAAGGCAACGAUACGUAGCCGACCUGAGAGGGUGAUCGGCCACACUGGAACUGAGACACGGUCCAGACUCCUACGGGAGGCAGCAGUAGGGAAUCUUCCGCAAUGGGCGAAAGCCUGACGGAGCAACGCCGCGUGAGUGAUGAAGGUCUUCGGAUCGUAAAACUCUGUUAUCAGGGAAGAACAAACGUGUAAGUAACUGUGCACGUCUUGACGGUACCUGAUCAGAAAGCCACGGCUAACUACGUGCCAGCAGCCGCGGUAAUACGUAGGUGGCAAGCGUUAUCCGGAAUUAUUGGGCGUAAAGCGCGCGUAGGCGGUUUUUUAAGUCUGAUGUGAAAGCCCACGGCUCAACCGUGGAGGGUCAUUGGAAACUGGAAAACUUGAGUGCAGAAGAGGAAAGUGGAAUUCCAUGUGUAGCGGUGAAAUGCGCAGAGAUAUGGAGGAACACCAGUGGCGAAGGCGACUUUCUGGUCUGUAACUGACG